CCUACGGGAGGCAGCAGUAGGGAAUCUUCCACAAUGGGCGAAAGCCUGAUGGAGCAACGCCGCGUGGGUGAAGAAGGUCUUCGGAUCGUAAAACCCUGUUGUUAGAGAAGAAAGUGCGUGAGAGUAACUGUUCACGUUUCGACGGUAUCUAACCAGAAAGCCACGGCUAACUACGUGCCAGCAGCCGCGGUAAUACGUAGGUGGCAAGCGUUAUCCGGAUUUAUUGGGCGUAAAGGGAACGCAGGCGGUCUUUUAAGUCUGAUGUGAAAGCCUUCGGCUUAACCGGAGUAGUGCAUUGGAAACUGGGAGACUUGAGUGCAGAAGAGGAGGGUGGAAGUCCAUGUGUAGCGGUGAAAUGCGUAGAUAUAUGGAAGAACACCAGUGGCGAAAGCGGCUCACUGGUCUGUAACUGACGCUGAGGUUCGAAAGCGUGGGUAGCAAACAGGAUUAGAUACCCUUGUAGUC
RNAcentral lists this ribosomal RNA (465 nucleotides) under uncultured bacterium. RNAcentral describes it as "partial 16S ribosomal RNA". It matches the Rfam family "Bacterial small subunit ribosomal RNA", at positions 338 to 795 of the family's 1533-position model. The record is from RNAcentral.